CUAUUCCCCAAUCCCCGUCCCUCUCUCCUCCAAUCCCAUCAAGAUCCACUCCCGUCCUUCACUGCCACUCCAUUUGCUUGUUUUCUGUUUGGCUGGAGCAGGGGGAAGGGAAGCAUGGCUCCAUGGUUGGGGAGGUGGAGGUCAACGUGGUGAAGCCACGGGGGAAUAUGACAACCUGUGAUGUGCAUCGGCUCCCGCGGCUUCGGCGACCUCUCCCUCCUCCUAGCGAUUCAGAAGGGUAUCCUUCUCCCUGCAGCGAUUUACAAGGGGUUUCUUCUCUCUGCAGCGAUUUGGAAGGGGGAGUGAGGAUAUUGCGGGGGAGAUGAAGUGGACGCCUGAAAUUUGCCUCCGAAACCCAUGAAGAACUCGAUUCAGUUCGGUUGGCUGGUUUCCCUUCUUUUCUUGCAAGGGAUGUUGUUUUGUUCAUGGUUCUCUCAUGUUAGAUGCAGUCCUCUUGUUCGUGUUUGGUUCAGACAUUAUUCAUGUUAAUCCCAUGCUGAUCUGAGAUGGCAGGAUGUGGCUUUUACAUAAGAAAGCAUUAGUUUCCAUUGACUGGACACAAGGCCAUGUCCAUAGGUGAUGUUCUUAAAGUUUAUGGUCAGAUGGAAGGGCUACCAGGAUCGGCCUCCUCCAACCCCACCCCUCCUCAGGGCCCACGGCAACAAAGUUAUACCAUGACACAGAGACACAUCAACAAAAUGCACAAGCCUGACACUAUGACAGUAGCUUG
This is a long non-coding RNA of Lolium rigidum, 730 nucleotides long. RefSeq lists it as uncharacterized. Lineage: Eukaryota; Viridiplantae; Streptophyta; Magnoliopsida; Poales; Poaceae. The record is from RefSeq and is a predicted model, not a curated record. The transcript is spliced from 4 exons.